Molecule: ribosomal RNA, 1446 nt
Filed under: uncultured organism
Description: SSU rRNA
Rfam family: Bacterial small subunit ribosomal RNA
Source: RNAcentral
AACGCUAGCUACAGGCUUAACACAUGCAAGUCGAGGGGCAGCAUGGUCUUAGCUUGCUAAGGCCGAUGGCGACCGGCGCACGGGUGAGUAACACGUAUCCAACCUGCCGUCUACUCUUGGACAGCCUUCUGAAAGGAAGAUUAAUACAAGAUGGCAUCAUGAGUCCGCAUGUUCACAUGAUUAAAGGUAUUCCGGUAGACGAUGGGGAUGCGUUCCAUUAGAUAGUAGGCGGGGUAACGGCCCACCUAGUCUUCGAUGGAUAGGGGUUCUGAGAGGAAGGUCCCCCACAUUGGAACUGAGACACGGUCCAAACUCCUACGGGAGGCAGCAGUGAGGAAUAUUGGUCAAUGGGCGCAGGCCUGAACCAGCCAAGUAGCGUGAAGGAUGACUGCCCUAUGGGUUGUAAACUUCUUUUAUAAAGGAAUAAAGUCGGGUAUGGAUACCCGUUUGCAUGUACUUUAUGAAUAAGGAUCGGCUAACUCCGUGCCAGCAGCCGCGGUAAUACGGAGGAUCCGAGCGUUAUCCGGAUUUAUUGGGUUUAAAGGGAGCGUAGAUGGAUGUUUAAGUCAGUUGUGAAAGUUUGCGGCUCAACCGUAAAAUUGCAGUUGAUACUGGAUAUCUUGAGUGCAGUUGAGGCAGGCGGAAUUCGUGGUGUAGCGGUGAAAUGCUUAGAUAUCACGAAGAACUCCGAUUGCAAAGGCAGCCUGCUAAGCUGCAACUGACAUUGAGGCUCGAAAGUGUGGGUAUCAAACAGGAUUAGAUACCCUGGUAGUCCACACGGUAAACGAUGAAUACUCGCUGUUUGCGAUAUACGGCAAGCGGCCAAGCGAAAGCGUUAAGUAUUCCACCUGGGGAGUACGCCGGCAACGGUGAAACUCAAAGGAAUUGACGGGGGCCCGCACAAGCGGAGGAACAUGUGGUUUAAUUCGAUGAUACGCGAGGAACCUUACCCGGGCUUAAAUUGCAGAUGAAUUACGGUGAAAGCCGUAAGCCGCAAGGCAUCUGUGAAGGUGCUGCAUGGUUGUCGUCAGCUCGUGCCGUGAGGUGUCGGCUUAAGUGCCAUAACGAGCGCAACCCUUGUUGUCAGUUACUAACAGGUUCCGCUGAGGACUCUGACAAGACUGCCAUCGUAAGAUGUGAGGAAGGUGGGGAUGACGUCAAAUCAGCACGGCCCUUACGUCCGGGGCUACACACGUGUUACAAUGGGGGGUACAGAGGGCCGCUACCACGCGAGUGGAUGCCAAUCCCAAAAACCUCUCUCAGUUCGGACUGGAGUCUGCAACCCGACUCCACGAAGCUGGAUUCGCUAGUAAUCGCGCAUCAGCCACGGCGCGGUGAAUACGUUCCCGGGCCUUGUACACACCGCCCGUCAAGCCAUGGGAGCCGGGGGUACCUGAAGUGCGUAACCGCGAGGAGCGCCCUAGGGUAAAACUGGUGACUGGGGCU